UAAGUAAAGAUAAUAAGGGCGUACGGUGGAUGCCUUGGCGAUAUCAGCCGAAGAAGGACGCGGUAAGCUGCGAUAAGCUACGGAGAGAUGCAAGCAAUCUUUGACCCGUAGAUAUCCGAAUGGGGGAACCCGGCAGUGGUUAUGCACUGUCACCCAUAGCAUAGACUAUGAGGAGGGCACCCGGGGAACUGAAACAUCUAAUUACCCGGAGGAACAGUAAUCAAACGAGAUUUUCUUAGUAGCGGCGAGCGAACGGGAAAGAGGCCAAACCGGAGCGGGCAACCGCAC
Molecule: ribosomal RNA, 288 nt
Filed under: Veillonella parvula
Lineage: Bacteria; Bacillati; Bacillota; Negativicutes; Veillonellales; Veillonellaceae
Description: partial 23S ribosomal RNA
Rfam family: Bacterial large subunit ribosomal RNA
Source: RNAcentral